UUCUAUGUUGCCCAGGCUGGUCUUGA
Molecule: non-coding RNA, 26 nt
Filed under: Homo sapiens (human)
Lineage: Eukaryota; Metazoa; Chordata; Mammalia; Primates; Hominidae
Source: RNAcentral